This is a long non-coding RNA of Mustela erminea (ermine), 2598 nucleotides long. RefSeq lists it as uncharacterized. The transcript is spliced from 4 exons. The record is from RefSeq and is a predicted model, not a curated record. NCBI's taxonomy places the organism in Eukaryota, Metazoa, Chordata, Mammalia, Carnivora, Mustelidae.
GACAGAAAACUUGAAUUUCAGACUCCACAAAGAAGCAUAGAGCAAUGUCACUGUGCUUGUUUAUGCCUGACCAGAGGGUAAUGGCUGCGGUAUACAGAGUGCUAGUUUACCAGAAUCUCAAGAUGUAAAACACAGAAAAAGCAGAAGCCCCAAAGAGAAAACAGAACAAAGGCUGAACUGUCUUUCUGCAAGCCCUGGGAUCCUUCCAACCUUCCCCACCCCUCACAGGCACAGGCAUUUCUGAAGUCUUCCUGGGCUUGGAGGGACAUACUUUGAAAACCCUUAAAUCCAGCCCCUCAUUCUGCAGAUGAAGAGAUGAAACCCUGAGAGGCUGAGACCUACCAAGUUUGCACAGUGUUGGAGUUUGUGACCCACGGUCUUCUAUAGCUUACGGCUACAGAAGCAGUUUUGAGGACUGAGCUUAUGGCAACCAUGGUAAACUUAGGACACAGCGAUAGGGGACAAUCUCAUUUCAAAAGAUGAGUGCUGUUCUUGCCCAGGAAGAUAUGGAUCUUCCUGCAAAUUGCAGGCCCGGAGUUUAUGGUGGAGAUGACCUGAAGAUACCACAGCCCCUACACCACUUGCAUUUCUUUUGCGCUUAUGAAUCCUGAGCAUGAACAAGGAUUAGGUCUCUUGGAGACCUACCGAAAAGGGGGCAGAUCCAGGUUUGGAGGUAGGGGGGCGGGCGGUGGGGGGGCUCUCAAUACUGGGGGCUCUCCUUAGGAAAGGAAUACAUGAAUUCAAAAUGAGAGGCCAGGACUUGGAAGGGAUACAUGUAAGUGAAACGUCCUGAAGUUCGAGCAUAAUGAGCUUCCUGGUAAUUCCAGCUCUACUCCUAUAGUCACUGAACUUCCUUCGUUUCUCCCUCCACUCCAUCCCUCUUCGACCCUUUGUCCUUCUAUCCAGCUCACAAGCCCCAACUCUGACGACUAGUCUCUGCUGUGCACCAGGCAGCAACUUCAUACGUUUACAUUCUGAUUUAAAAACAGGACUUGGCUCCGCUCUGCAGGUUUUUAUCCAAGUCAUGAUACAUGCAUAGCUUUUCUUGAUCUAAAAGAAGAAAACGAUGUACAAGUAAUCUGUGGGUGAUGGGCAAACACACUACAUGGGCUGUUAGACUUGGUAGACCCUACUUGAGCUGGGGCUAUGGUUUUCUAUCUAUGUUUGUAAACAGGGGCAGGCUCUUCUAUGCCUGGGACAUCCAACAAGUAAAACCAUCCUCUCAGAUGGGGAGUGGGGAGGGGCUUAACAACCUAGAGAAUGUCACAUAGCUACGCAUCAUUCUGUAUAAUUGAUAGAAUAUUUUUACACAUGGCACCUGAUCUAAUGUGGUUUUAUUUAUACACCCAUUAAGACAGAUUGGGGACUGAGGCUUAGAGUGACUUGCCGAGGUCACAGAGCUACUCGCUGGUAAAGUCAGGCUUUGAAGAAUGACUCCAAGUUCAGUGCCCUUUCUAAUUCGACAGGAACUGCAAUUUUCACUUAAUACCGCUUUGUACAGGCUUGAUGCCCAAGGAUGAGGCUUAACGUUUGAUUCUGAACAGUUCCCUUUUAAUGCUUUCCUACAGCUCCCCCCCACCCCCCGCUGUUACCCCCACACCCAGAGGACACAAAGACUGCCCAGGCAACCACGGCACAAAGAACCCAUAGACAAAGUCAGUAGAGGCCAUUUUGUGGAUAAUCUGGGGACAAGAAUGUGUUCCCCAUUGGGAGGAACAUUUUCUCAAAGGGGGUGAUCUGGAUGAGUCAUCAAAGUUCAUGCUACCAUUUGCACUGUUUCCCACCUCUCCCCUUCCUUGUGGGCAGUGACGUCACUCAGCCCUGGAGAGAGACUAUGUCUGUCCCCCACCUCUGGUCCCCAGCAGUCUGCUCAGUCAGGGCCUGGCCCGGAGCCACAGAGCCCAGCGCAGGAGGGGAAGAAGCGUGUCUCCCAGUGGCUGUCAGCUUUCCCAGCUAAGUCUCGCCACCCCUUUUUGCCUCUGCCCUGCACACACAGCCUCCAGCCGCCUGCCCGACUUUCCAUUUUCAGGCCUGUCUGGUGCUGUUCUGGUUCUUGGAGUGGGACGACCCCCCUCCCCCUGCCCGGGUGCCUUGUCUGCAGCCUGGGGCUGCCCCCAGCGACACUCGGGCUCUGUGCCCACUGGCCUGGCAGGCCCUCUCUCAGGACAAUGAGAAUCUGCUGUAAUGGAGAGUUUGCAAUAUAGGUCAAGGUGCUCUCUGAAGGGCCCAGGGGAGGAUCACCUGACUGGGAGGGGGGUGACUCAGCGGGAAGGGGGAGGGAUGGGAACCGGAAUCUCCUGGCCCGCAGGGCCUGCAGGAGGAGGUCAAGUUGUCUCUGGCUGGCUGUCUGUCAGGUCUGGCUGCCUGUCAGGGGAGGAAGGAGAAGCUGCUGGAGACAGGAGGAGGGGCAAAUGACCUCCGGUGACCCACCUAGGGUGGCAUCAAAAUCCCUCCCCCAGUGGCCUGUUACCCUCCCUGUAGCUGACGCCACUCCCAGGUCAGUCUGCCUCUGUGGCUUGUAAAGACCUAAUUAGCCGCCUCUCUUGCCAAAGAGGGAAAGCAAAUGAGCAGAGAGCUCAUCACUCCAGACUCCAUCAA